Non-coding RNA from Onychomys torridus (southern grasshopper mouse), 546 nucleotides. Lineage: Eukaryota; Metazoa; Chordata; Mammalia; Rodentia; Cricetidae. The record is from the annotation of a RefSeq genome assembly.
AUGACACUGUUUUGUCUUCUGUAUCUGGUGACUGCACUUCCUGGUAUCCUGUCCCAGGUACAGCUUCAGGAGUCAGGAGAUGGCCUGGUGAAGCCCUCUCAAACACUGUCCCUCACCUGCUCUGUCACUGGUUACUCCAUCACCAGUGGUUACUACUGGACAUGGAUCAGACAGCCUUCUGGGAGGAAUAUGGAGUGGAUGGGGUACAUAAGUUAUGGUGGUAGCACAUACUACAACCCAUCCCUCAAGAGCCACAUCUCCAUCACCAGAGAAACAUCUAAGAACCAGUUCUUCCUGCAGCUGAACUCUGUGACCACUGAGGACACAGCCACUUACUUCUGUGCAAGACACACAGUGAGAAAACUUUACCAUGAGCCCAGACACAAACCUCCCUGCAGAGGAGCUCUGGGUCAGCAGGGGGCGCACAGCUCUCACCAAGCCCAAGAAACUCUAAGACCAGAACUUGCAGAAAAACUCCUUGUUUUCUCUGGCUUGGCUUCUCACUCCCUAAGGGCAAAGAGGCUUUGGGGUCACAUCUCUCUCUGA